This is a long non-coding RNA of Myodes glareolus (Bank vole), 1776 nucleotides long. RefSeq lists it as uncharacterized. The record is from RefSeq and is a predicted model, not a curated record. Lineage: Eukaryota; Metazoa; Chordata; Mammalia; Rodentia; Cricetidae.
UCCCAGCACCCACACCAGGCGGCUCACAGCCAUCUAUAACUCCAGUUCCGGGGAAUGCAGCUCCCUCUGACCUCCGCAGGCACUUGGAGGCAUACAUACACAAAUCUUCAGAGGUGGAUAAGCCACCACACCCCCGAGUGGCUCACGGACACCAUUGCUAACUCUCCAUAGGGGAGAAUAAGGGCCUCCUUCUCCACAGCCUCCAACUCCCAGGAAUCCCGACCCUUAGUGAAGGAAUCCAGUCUGAGCUUGACAAGGGGUGCAGAGCAUCCAGGAAGACGAAUUUCCGCUUCCUCACCUUGACACAUGGACUCCAGGCAUUUUUCUAGUCCACCCAGAUCCAGUUUACAGCCAUAAACCCUGUAAUUCCCCACGGUUCGGGUAGCCAUCCCAACUGCCGGCACUCGACUGAAUCAAAAACUACCUGAAAGGACAAAAAGCCUGGUCGGGCGGCCUAAGUCACAUCUCCUUCCCUGAGUGGGGUCCUGAGGCCUGGGGGACGAACCUGAGAGCAGCUGAACCUGACAAACUGUCGUGGAGCCCACGAGACUGAAAGCAAAUCGCCAGCAUGACGACCAAUCGGGAGGACGGAGAGGCUGCUUAGCCCGCCCACUGAGUGACGUCAUUUCCCAGCAACCGUGAAGCUCCGUACCUUAGCAACCGGGCUAGACCUAAGCAAUAGAAUUAGGUCAGAUCGAACCGAACCAGACAAAGAUCUGGCUGACUGGUUUAUUCCAAAUGGAAAAAAAAAAGACCAAGAAUGGGAAACUUGGACUGGAGAAGAUGGGGGCGGGGGGUAAGAGAGUUUUGGCAAACAUGCGCAAAGGGCCUGAGUUUCAGACUCACUAACUUUUUAAAGGCCGAGAAUUUAGCGGCUUCAGAACCCGCCGUGUUAUGACUAAAUUCAGAGACCUUAGUUGAAAUCAACUCCUGUCCAUUUUGGUUCCUCCUUGACUUCUGCUUCAUAUCCAUUAUUGCCCUUCAACCGACCCUCUUGAUCUAGAAUCUUAGUGUUUUUCAGACUCGAAUGUGCAUGCCCAUCACUUGGGAAAGACGUCCAAUUGCAGACCUGGAUUUCGCAAGUCUGAGAUGGAGCCUGUGAUCCUUAGCUUCCGCUCCUGCUUUCAGCCCACGAAACGCACCGCCACGGUAUAAUCCCUCGUUGACCUCAUUCUGAACCAGCUCAGUUUGGCCUAUAUUUUGCGUGUGUAGCUGGUAUAGCACGCUCCAGGGAGUGGAGCGGUGGAGAACCGGUCUGCUCCCGAAGGAAGGUGGAGAUAGUCCCUUCAGUGACUCAUGCUUGCUUGGCGAACUGCCUGCGCAAGCUGGGCCAGCACCAUUCUCAGGGAAGGAGAAUCCCUAAGUACCUCACUUGGGCACAUGUUCUGGGUGUCCCUGCCCUGGAGCUCACCAUGUAGGGGAGGAUGCUGGGAUUACAGACAUGUGUCACUGUGUCUGAUUUAUGUGUCACUGUGGAUCGCACCCAGAGCUUCGUUGAUGAUGAAGGUGAAAACAAAUACGGACAAGCCUUAACACUGAUUAGAAGGUAAACCGGGCAGUGGUGGCGCACUCCUUUAAGCCCAGAACUCGGGAGGCAGAGGCAGGCAGAUCUCUGUAAUUUUGAGGCCAGCCUGGUCUACAGAUCGAAUUCUAGGACAGGCUCCCAAGCUUCAGAGAAAUUCUGUCUCGAAAAACAAAACAGACAAAAAAGGAAUAUAAAGAGAAUAGUUGUACUAAUAAACCCCCUCAGAGAUAUUAAAUAAAAAAUUAAACUUA